GUUCUGGGGGGUGAAGAAGGGCAGGAGAAGCUGGAAAAAAGUCAAGAGACACGUGCUGAGGAAAUGCGGUCUGAAAGCAGCGCCGAGGACAUGGAGGGGGAGGAGGAGGAACGUAAAGCCCCCCUGAAGAGAAGGAAGACGAGGAGCAGCGGAGGAGCCUCUCGAGCCAAGAAAGGGUCAGAAAACAGAAGGAGCACAAGAGGGAAAGCGGGUGAACCCGGGUCCUCUGCUGACUGGGAUUCCACUGACAGCGCCUCUUCUGGUGGGACGGUGACCAGCAGGUACGGGGUGGGGAGAGUGAAGCUCUUCCUGAAGGUAACAAAGAACAUGAAGGGGGUGGACAUGGAGGAGUAUUUCUCUGACCUAGAUAAGUUCUCUCGCACUGCUCGGAACGGUGUGAGCAAAAAGGGUAGUGGGAGAUACACCCAGCAGGAAGUCUUCCGGAUGAGGAAGAUCAUCCUGAAGAUAAACAGGGGAAGCGAAGGUGCUUCUGUGGACUGAGAGCGGCGUCCAUCCGGUGGAGGAGGAUCCUGGCCGGCUGACGCAAGAGGAGAUGCUGGUGGGGAAUGACUGAGGAGUGGAGCCAGCAGCCAAAUCGACGGGCAGCUCAAGCUUUUGAAUCUUUCAGCGUUGUCGUGUAUGUGACAUGUUUGUGCGUUUUAAAGAAAAUAAAGGUUUUUCAAAAAUCAAAAAAAAUCUCUCUCUCUCUCUCUCUCUCGGUGCAUGCUGGGAGUGAGUGUGUGUGAGUGUGUGUGAGCGUCCUGAGUGAGCGGUUUUUCUCUCGUUGUUCUUUUUUUCCCUUAGUUAGAUAUAUUAAUUUAAUGUGGUUUAGUGGUUGUUUUUCACUUUAGUUGUGGGGUUAGUUGUUGGGGUUCUUUUCUUUGGUUUUCUUUUCUCCUGCCGGUGUCUCGCCGGUCGGCGUCUCUAGACGCCAUGGUAAAUGGGGACACGUUCUCCCAGCUCACGAGGAAGCACGGCAUUAAGAUCGCCGCGGGCUUCCCGUGCAGCGUGGAGGACAUCGGGUUGGCUGUGGGGGAAGUGGUCGGGCACGGCAGCGUUAAGUCGGCCGCUCGGAUGAACGGGGCCGUGGUCAUUUUCCUGGACCAGGUGGAGAAGGUGAACCGAGUCGUCGAGGCGGGCCUCACGGUGAAUGAAAUGUUUGUGCAGGUGUUGCCACUGACGCAACCGGCCACGAAGGUGGUUCUAUCGAACGUCCCUCCGUUCAUCACCGACGAAUUUCUCAGCAGAGAACUCUCCAGACACGGAAAGGUGGUCUCACCGAUCAAAAAGAUCUUGUCUGGAUGCAGGUCUCAGUUACUGAAGCACGUAGUGUCUCACCGCAGACACCUGUAUAUGAUACUUAACAACCGGAAUGUGGAGCUCAACCUCCGCUUCCAUGUUAAGAUAGAUGAUUAUGAGUACGUGAUUUUUGCAUCAUCGUCGGCGAUGAAAUGUUUCGGUUGCGGCGAGGAGGGGCACACCGUGGGUGCCUGCCCGAGGCGCGGGGACCCGACUCCGCCUGGCGGGGCUGCGGCGGGGGAUCCUCCGGCCGUGGUUUUGGCGGGGGGGUCCCCGGCCGCGGCUGCGGCGGGGGGGUCUCCGGCCGCGGUUCUUGCGGGGGGGUCUCCGGCCGCGGCUGCGGCGGGGGAACCUCCGGCCGCGGUUUUGGCGGGGGGGUCUCCGGCCGCGCCUGCGGCGGGGGAGCCUCCGGCCGCGGCUCUUGCGGGGGGGUCUCCGGCCGCGGCUGCGGCGGGGGAGCCUCCGGCCGCGGCGCUUGCGGGGGAGUCUCCAGCCGCGGAGGUGGCUGCGGCGUCCGUGAGGCCGUUUCCGGUUCCGCGGGCCGCGGGCCGUUGCGCUGCUGUGCCUGACCUACACGGGGUGAGUAUGGAAGAUGUGCACAGUGUAAAUGAGGGUGUUUUGGUGGGUGAGAGAGGAGCUUUGGGUGAGGUGGCACAGGGUGAGGAUGGAGGGGAAGGAAAGGAAAAGGGUGAGGGGGGGGUUAGUGUGGAACAGGAGUCAGGUGCCAGAGAGGCACAGUUGGGGGGAGGACUGAAUGGGGGGGUGGAACAGGCAGAGGAGGUUAAGAUGGUGGAGGAGGAAGCAGGAGAGCAAAAAGCUGCAACAAAAAGAAGAAAAAAGAGGCAAGAUACAGGCAGCGAGGCAAAAGCCAGCAAGGUGGGGGAGGAAGAGGAGGCCAUGGGGGGUCAGGGGCCAUCUGAGGGCAGUGAGAGUGAGGGCUGUGUGUCGGACAGCAGCGACAGCCACAGCGCCUGUCUGACACACAGCCAGCGGGAAAAGCUCUACUCCGCAGAGCAAAUCAAAAUGUUUUUACAAAAAGUCAAAAAUAGGAGAAAUCUAAAAAUCGAGGAGUUUUUCCAGACCUGGUGUGUUUUUAUAACUCAGCCAGACUCCGCAUGAGCCAGCGAGAGGAGUCUGGCUUCACAGAUCAAGAGGGUUUUAGACUAAAAAAACUUGUGCUAAAAGCAAAACGAGCAAUCGAUGAUCACGAGAAAAGCCCCAAUGUGUGUUUUAAUUGAUUUAUUGGUUUUAUUUUUAUUUAUUUUUAUCAUGGAUACUUUAAAAGUGGGAAGCCUGAAUGUGAACGGAGCCAGAGAUGCCAAGAAGAGGGCAUCUAUUUAUGAAUUUAAAAAAAUGAAACGUCUUGAUGUUCUCUUCGUGCAAGAGACGCACAGCGACAGCACCAACGAGGCCGACUGGAGGAGGGAAGUCCUGCUGAGCCACAACACCAACCUCAGUGGAGGAGUGGGCUUCCUCUUCUCCAGGUCUUUUAAUCCACUGUCACUGGAGGUCAAACACAUCAUCGAGGGGAGGUUGUUCUUAGUCAAGGCACGUUUGACCUUUUUACUGUUGUUUUUAUCAAUGUGUAUGCCCCAACAAUCGGUGCAGAGAGGAAUCUGCUUUUACAAAAAAUUGAUAUGUUUCAAAUGGCUGUGCCCCGGAGGAUUUUUUGUUUUUGGGGGGGGAUUUUAACUGUACGGAAAAUGACUUGAAAGACCGUAAUCACGCAGAGCCACAUCCAGCUUCCCAGCGCGCUCUGAGGCAGCUGUUCCAGUCUCAUGGCCUGGUGGAUGUGUGGAGAAGGAUGCAUGCAGACUGCCGACAGUACACGUGGUCCCUUUUUAGAGAAGGUAGAAUCUCCUCAGCCAGGUUAGAUCGUUUUUUAUGUUUUUAAGCAACAUUUUAAUGUUUUUAAGAUGUGCAGUAUUGUCCCUGCUGUUUUUAAUGAUCAUUCUUUGUUUUUAUGUAAUGUUUUUAUUGGAAACGUUUUACCUAGAAGUGCAUAUUGGCAUUUUAACUCAGUACUAACUUGUGAUAAGAACUUUAGAGAGGUUUUUGUAUACUUCUGGGGUGUUUUUAGGCUGAGGAGGAGCGAGUUUAGUAGUCUUAGGCAGUGGUGGGACCGCGGGAAGAUUGAGGUUGGGCUCCUCUAUCAACAGCACACCUUCAACGUCACCAGAGACAUCGCUAGAUCUAUGAAGGACCUGGAAACUGAGAUAGUGGAACUAGAACAACAUUAAGCGAGUCCACAGGAGAUCGAGGACAUUUUGAAGUCCUCAAAGGAAAAAAAA
This is a long non-coding RNA of Gasterosteus aculeatus aculeatus (three-spined stickleback), 3590 nucleotides long. Lineage: Eukaryota; Metazoa; Chordata; Actinopteri; Perciformes; Gasterosteidae. The record is from Ensembl.